RNAcentral lists this ribosomal RNA (506 nucleotides) under uncultured bacterium. Its description in RNAcentral is "partial 16S ribosomal RNA". It matches the Rfam family "Bacterial small subunit ribosomal RNA", at positions 29 to 523 of the family's 1533-position model. The record is from RNAcentral.
AGUGAACGCUGGCGGUAGGCCUAACACAUGCAAGUCGAACGGCAGCACAGGAGAGCUUACUCUCUGGGUGGCGAGUGGCGGACGGGUGAGGAAUACAUCGGAAUCUACUCUGUCGUGGGGGAUAACGUAGGGAAACUUACGCUAAUACCGCAUACGACCUACGGGUGAAAGCAGGGGACCUUCGGGCCUUGCGCGAUUGAAUGCGCCGAUGUCGGAUUAGCUAGUUGGCGGGGUAAAGGCCCACCAGGGCGACGAUCCGUAGCUGGUCUGAGAGGAUGAUCAGCCACACUGGAACUGAGACACGGUCCAGACUCCUACGGGAGGCAGCAGUGGGGAAUAUUGGACAAUGGGCGCAAGCCUGAUCCAGCCAUACCGCGUGGGUGAAGAAGGCCUUCGGGUUGUAAAGCCCUUUUGUUGGGAAAGAAAUCCAGCUGGCUAAUACCCGGUUGGGAUGACGGUACCCAAAGAAUAAGCACCGGCUAACUUCGUGCCAGCCGCCGCCGUAA